CGUCAAGUCCUCAUGGCCUUAUGCCCAGGGCUACACACGUGCUACAAUAGGGGCGGUACAAAGAGAAGCAACCUCGCGAGGGUGAGCAAAUCUCAAAAAGCCGUUCUCAGUUCGGAUUGAAGUCUGCAACUCGACUUCAUGAAGUCGGAAUCGCUAGUAAUCGCGGAUCAGCAUGCCGCGGUGAAUACGUUCCCGGGCCUU
RNAcentral lists this ribosomal RNA (201 nucleotides) under uncultured Syntrophaceae bacterium. RNAcentral describes it as "partial 16S ribosomal RNA". It matches the Rfam family "Bacterial small subunit ribosomal RNA", at positions 1183 to 1382 of the family's 1533-position model. Lineage: Bacteria; Pseudomonadati; Thermodesulfobacteriota; Syntrophia; Syntrophales; Syntrophaceae. The record is from RNAcentral.